CUGGGUGGCGGUGAUAGAGCAGUUCUGGGUGGCAGUGGCGGAGCAGGUCUGGCCAUCUGGGCGACGGCCGCAAAGCAGGUCUGCACAACGACGGAAGAGCUGGUCUGGGCGGCGGCGACACAGCAGGUCUGGGCGGCGGGAAAGGGUCGCGACGGCUUAGGUGUGGGCGGCAAUGGCAAAGCAGUUCUUGGCGGCGAUGGCAUCGACGCCCAUAUGGAAUCGCGACUAAAGAGGGUCGCGGCUGCCGGCACUG
RNAcentral lists this long non-coding RNA (253 nucleotides) under Hordeum vulgare. RNAcentral's name for it is "long non-coding RNA (HVUL_LNC009949)". The record is from RNAcentral. Lineage: Eukaryota; Viridiplantae; Streptophyta; Magnoliopsida; Poales; Poaceae.